GACGAACGCUGGCGGCGUGCUUAACACAUGCAAGUCGUGCGGUAAGGCCCUUUAGGGGGUACACGAGCGGCGAACGGGUGAGUAACACGUGAGCAACCUGCCCUUCACUUUGGGAUAACUGCCGGAAACGGUGGCUAAUACCGGAUAUGACUUCCUCACGCAUGUGGGGUGGUGGAAAGCCUUCGGGUGGUGGGGGAUGGGCUCGCGGUCUAUCAGCUUGUUGGUGGGGUGAUGGCCUACCAAGGCUUCGACGGGUAGCCGGCCUGAGAGGGUGACCGGCCAAAAUGGGAAUGAGACACGGCACAGACUAAUACGGGAGGCAGCAGUGGGGAAUAUUGAACAAUGGGCGAAAGCCUGAUCCAGCAACGCCGAGUGAGGGAUGACGGCCUUAGGGUUGUAAACCUCUUUCGCCUGCGACGAAGCGAGAGUGACGGUAGCAGGUAAAGAAGCACCGGCCAACUACGU
RNAcentral lists this ribosomal RNA (465 nucleotides) under uncultured bacterium. RNAcentral's name for it is "partial 16S ribosomal RNA". It matches the Rfam family "Bacterial small subunit ribosomal RNA", at positions 28 to 506 of the family's 1533-position model. The record is from RNAcentral.